CUAAGGAAACAUCUUCAUUGGCAUACUUGUGAAGAACAUGCCUGAGAAUUCCACAAUUAUGAAGCAAUGCAAAUGUGUGAUAACUUGUGAGGUCGCUAAAUCCUUCGAGAUGGCAUACAACUGGCCUGUUGCAUGGCGGAAAUACUUGUUACCUGCCUCACCGAACUUCCAGUGUUCAGGCCCCGAUUUCAUGCAUCCGAUGUAAACCCGUCGUUUCGAUCGAUGUCUGACUAGCGUUUCUCCUAGUGUGGCUGAGACCAAAUGCAAGA
Molecule: long non-coding RNA, 269 nt
Organism: Cucurbita pepo subsp. pepo (vegetable marrow)
Lineage: Eukaryota; Viridiplantae; Streptophyta; Magnoliopsida; Cucurbitales; Cucurbitaceae
Source: RefSeq, a predicted model, not a curated record